CCUACGGGAGGCAGCAGUGAGGAAUAUUGGACAAUGGGCGCAAGCCUGAUCCAGCCAUGCCGCGUGCAGGAUGACGGUCCUAUGGAUUGUAAACUGCUUUUAUACAGGAAGAAACACCUCUACGUGUAGAGACUUGACGGUACUGUAAGAAUAAGGAUCGGCUAACUCCGUGCCAGCAGCCGCGGUAAUACGGAGGAUCCAAGCGUUAUCCGGAAUCAUUGGGUUUAAAGGGUCCGUAGGCGGUUUAGUAAGUCAGUGGUGAAAGCCCAUCGCUCAACGGUGGAACGGCCAUUGAUACUGCUAGACUUGAAUUAUUAGGAAGUAACUAGAAUAUGUAGUGUAGCGGUGAAAUGCUUAGAGAUUACAUGGAAUACCAAUUGCGAAGGCAGGUUACUACUAAUUGAUUGACGCUGAUGGACGAAAGCGUGGGUAGCGAACAGGAUUAGAUACCCUGGUAGUCCACGCCGUAAACGAUGGAUACUAGCUGUUGGGCGCAAGUUCAGUGGCUAAGCGAAAGUGAUAAGUAUCCCACCUGGGGAAGUACGAACGCAAGUUUGAAACUUCAAAGGAAUUGACGG
RNAcentral lists this ribosomal RNA (578 nucleotides) under uncultured bacterium. Its description in RNAcentral is "bacterial SSU rRNA". It matches the Rfam family "Bacterial small subunit ribosomal RNA", at positions 338 to 916 of the family's 1533-position model. The record is from RNAcentral.